ACCGCGCCGGGCCGCUGAGGCUGCUGGGUGGAAACCGCCGCCGCGGGCCCGGGACUGUGAGUUCGAGCCCUGGCGAGCCCGCCCUACCCCACCCUCCCCGCAGCAGGCCCCUCCGAGACGCCGUUUGGGAGCGCUUUCCCCCAUGUGCCUCCCGCCGCUUUGGGUCAGGGGCUGCAAGCUGCUUGCCCAGCCCCUGUGCUUGCUCCAUCACGGUGAACCUGCAAAGGUGUGUUUCAGAGGCUUUUGGCCCCAGACUUUAUUCUGGCCGCCUGGAAAGCGGAGGCCGUGUCUCCUGAGUUUCUAUGGCCCAGCGCGGGGUGGAGGUGGGGCGCGCAUACACAGGGACAUGUCUGGGAGAGGGAUAUGCGUCCUCUUCCUGGGACCCCUCUCCCCCUGGACGCUCCCAUAACCGAACUGCCAACCCAGCCCAGCCCAGUCCAGCCCAUGUUGGGUUCCUAAGUCCCGGAAGCUGGGCACAGGCCCCAACUCGGUUCCCAUGGACACUAUUGCGUCCAUAUGCAGUGCCAGGCGCUUUACACACAUUAUCUCACUUAUUUCACACGUCCUUGAGAACAGGCACUGUUCACGGCAGAUAUUUAUUGCACGGCCACCCCCACGCUGCCACGCCUCGCUCUCAGAUGAGGAAACCGGGGGGAUGGGGGGUGGAUGGAGGCAAGAAUGGCGCUGGGAUCUGGCCACCGUCUCAGCAGCGCCCCCGUGGCCGCCGCACCCUCAGGCCUGGAGGCAGAGCCGGCGCCGGAGCGAGCUGCGGAUCUCCAGGCAGGCCUUGCGGAGUUCAUCGCAGUCGGGGCCCAGCACCUCCUGCUCGCACACCCGCCUGUUGACCUGAGGACCACACCCAGCCUGCGCCCGGGGUUACAGCCCUCCGGGGCUCAGCCUGCCCCAGGGGAGAGCCCCUGGCUUGGUACAUUGCAAGGCCUAAAAUUUCAAGGACUGCCUGGACAUCUUUGAGGCUCGCAGAGCUCCAGAGGCCUAACGGUGAAUUCCUCUGCUCUGGCCAGACAUGUCCCCACCCAGCAGGACAGGCUCCCACCCCCUAGGUCCCCUCUCAGCAGACCAGCUGCACCCCACCUGGUCGUCACCCUAAUGGACUUCAGCCCCCUGACAGGCCUUGGAAAUAUUCAAACCAACCAACCACAUCUGCCCGUGGGAACCAGGGGGCAUCUCACUCUCUUGUCACUACAAAGCCAGCUUCCCACUGGCCCUGCAGGUUCACCCUGCUCUGAGCACAAGCCCAGGUGGCCCCGCAUGACAUGCAGUGUCCUCCUCCCCACCCGACUGCAGUACGUGUGACUAAGAACUGCAGUGGAUGGCAUCUGUGCAGCGUCGGCCAUCCUGCGUUUGGUUAUCUUGUAGUAUUGAGGGCAGAGGAUCCCUCCUUCGCCAAUGGAGUUCAUAGGAGGUGAUCAGAAUACCAGGGCUGGGGAGAAGGGCAAACCCAGCUCCUUGCCACUUGUCACCCUGGAACCCCCCAACACACCUCAGUCAGCAGCUCCAGAAGGUCUCUCCCGGGGUUGGCUCUGAGGACCUCCACCAGUGUCUGGAUAAAGUCUGAGCCCUUGUCAUCGCGAUAGGCCACAUAGCCUAGGUCAGGGGAUCAGGGCCAGAGCAUCAGACCAAGGCCCCAACCCUCUGCCUUCCAAUCCCAGGGGUCCUAUUGUUGGUGGAAAGUGGGGUACAAGGAGGCAGGACCCAGGAAUCAGGCAAGAGAACAGGGCAGGGAGCAGGGACUUCUUGCAUCUGGAACAAGUUGUUGCUAGGUAUUUGCAGAGGUGAGCCUAUGGAGAGAUUCACUACUGAACAAACAUUUACUGUGCACCUACUAUGUGCCAGACACUGAGCAGGGCCUUGGGGCAGGCAGGUCUACCCUGGCCUCGUGGAACUCACAGCCUAGAGGAAACCUGCACACACAGUGGUUGGCACAGCUGCGCCUCACAGCACUCACCAUCACUGCUGUUACUACACAUCCUAACCCAUGUAGGGAACAUGGCUGGACCACAGCUGGGCUGGCAUCUCUGUGCCCCAACCCUAAGCCCUAGCUGCCCCUAAGGCUACUCCAGAUCUUAGGCCAGGAAGCUGGGCCCUGUGUAACCACAGGCUCCCGAUGACCCAUCUCCUUACCCUCUGCGGCUGAGUAGACCGUCAGGAUGUCUGCUUGGUCAGAGCUCCCUGGAGGGGUGCCCCUGCAGGAGCUGCCUGCAAGAGGAAUCAAUUCCAGUGAUCAACAUCGUGGAACUCCAUCAGCCCCGGGAGCUCCCCAUCUGUGGCUUAAGGGCAGCCCAGGGAGGUGGAAAGAGUGCAGGGCAGGAAUGACAGACGGAAGUUCAAAGCUCGGCCCAGCCACUUAACAGCUGUGACCUCAGAAAAGCUAUUUGACCUUACCGACUCCAGGGUUCUUGCCAGGCUCCAACAGGGGAAGAAGCUCCCACUUCCCAAAGGCCCUUGCGGUUUAGGAAGAUUUUUUUUCUUCCCAUUGUCUUGGCAAACAGAGGAUGCAGGUGGCAGCCAUACCCCAGCUUAGAGCCCUGGAGAUGCUCUCUGGACGGUCCCCACAACCAGCCCUGCCCAAGCCCAGGCCCUGGAAGGAAGGCAGAACCCACCUUGGGCCUCAGCGUAGAUCUGCAGGACAUCUGCAUGGGAGGGGACAGAUGGAGGUGCCCGCAGCCAGCUCCAGUACCAGGGGAGAGCUGUGGGCCCCACACCAGCAUCCCUGUUUCCUGAAGAGGGUGGGGAGAGGCAGAUAGUCUCACUCCGGGGAUACCUGGGGGUGCUCAGGGGUCUAGUGUGAAUGUGGGGUCAAGGUGAGAACCCAACUCCAGAGCUCCAGGGCAGGCUUGCCAGACUGGAGACAUUCAGAGCGCUGAAUGACAGGUGUUGAGAGUUAAGGGUUCAAGGUCGUGGACUUGACCUCUAGGAGAGGACAGGAGAGGGGGCAGGGAAGGGCAGGUACCCGGGCUCCCUGGAGAAGGUAGACAGUGAGUCCCGGGGGCUGAAGCUUGGCCGAGGAAAGUGAGGGCAGUAGGAGGCCGGGCCGCUCACCCCCACGGCAGGCCUGCAACAGGAAGAUCUUGGGGCGGCCCUGCAGCACCUGGCAGCGGCUCAGCUCCUGCAUGAGUGCCUCGGGCUGCACCUCUUGCCCGUCAGCCCCCAGCAGCUGACCCCGUGGUCCCCCAUGGGCCAUCAGGGCCACAAGGGCACAGCUCACAGGGCCCCUGCAGGUGUCCAGUUGCUCCCGGAACUGGGCCAGCUCCUCCUGGAAAGCCUGGGGUGGGAACAAUGUUGAGGCCUGGGCCAAAGCCACCGCCUCCCCAGCCACUGGCUGCCCUCUGUGAGGCUGACAAGGUUUCCCAGACCCUGCCCCACCUGGCCUCCCACCGCCUGCCACUCACAGGUCCAGGGAGGAAGCCCUCUUUUUUUUUUUUUUUUUUUUUGGGAAGGAGUCUUGCUCUGUCACCCAGGCUGGAGUGCAGUGGCGCGAUCUCGGCUCACUGCUAUCUCUGCCUCCUGGGUUCAAGCGAUUCUCCUGCCUCAGCCUCCUGAGUAGCUGGGAAUACAGGUACAUGCCACCACACCCGGCUAAUUUUUUGUAUUUUUAGUAGAGAUGAGGUUUCGCUGUGUUAGCCAGAAUGGUCUCGAUCUCCUGACGUCGUGAUCCGCUUGUCUCGGCCUCCCAAAGUGCUGGGAUUACAGGCGUGAGCCACUGUGCCCGGCCUGUUUUUGUUUUUUGAGACAGAGUCUUGCUCUGUCGCCCAGGCUGGAGUGCAGUGGCACAAUCUCAGCUCACUGCAACCUCGGCCUCCUGGGUUCAAGCCAUUCUCCUGCCUCAGCCUCCCAAGUAGCUGGGAUUACAGGCACGCACCACCAUGCCCUACUAAUUUUGUCUAUAUAGUAGAGACGAGGUUUCACCAUGGUAGUCAGGCUGGUCUCAAACUCCUAAUCUCAAGUGAUCCACCCGUCUCAGCCUCCUAAAGCGUUGGGAUUACAGGCGUGAGCCACUGCACCCGGCCAGAAGCCCUUUUCUAACUCCCUCCUGCAAGGCCUUGGCAUGGCCUCUUUAGAGGUGACAUAGAGACCCAGCUUCCUGGAGCCAGUUCUCCUCCUGCCCUCGUGGGGAAGCCGCACCAAGAAGUUGAGAGGUGUGAGGAGAGUGGAGUGGGCUGCUGGGAGCCAAGAGGGAAACCAAGACUUGGAGCUAAAGCUUUGAGCUGGGGAGGGGGCGGGGGGGCCAGAGAACCAGCCAGUGAGGAAGGCCUCGGGGACCCUGGAGACCAGGCUUCCAGAGGCAGGGAAGUGACGGGCCAGAUGCAGGCAACAGGGAGCACAGAGGUUAGACUUGUGGUGCACUUCCUGCCAGUGAUGGAGAGAGGCCCCAGGUUUCUAGGGAGGGGUGGUCUUCCUUCAGAGCACCAGUGGAAGUUCUCGGCUUCCCCUCACCUGGGCUGUAGGGUCCGUUCUCACGGUGGUCUCAAAGCCCAGGGCCCAGCACAGGCCCCCCAGCGCCUCCACGUCAUGCUGGGCCCCAGGCCGGCCUUGGAUCACAGCCAGGAGGAGGGCAGCCCUGGCCUUGGACAGGUCAUACUGUGUGCUGGGACCGGGGGCCGGCUGCAGAGAGGGUUAAGACACAUCUAAAGUGGCCUGAGAGGACUCCAGCUCCUGGCCUCCCCGGCCGGGGCCCCCCCUAAGCUUCUGUCCCACUGGAAACUGUGGCCAUGUGAUUGGAUCCCUGCCCUGCCCCCCUCACCUCAGGCCUCCAGGGCUCCACGCCUCCCAGGCACAGUGCCCCCCUCAAGGAGCUCCGAAGGACGGGGCAGCAGGUGCCCCCUGCGGACUCUUCAGCCACCCUGCGGAAGAGCUGGGGAUGGGGCCGAGAAAAGACUCAGCCAGGCUUGUGGCUUCUAUAGUCUCUUCAGGGUCACCUGCCAGAAUGCAGACAGGAGGAGGCCAGCAAAGGACAGACAGGCAGGAUGGCCUCAAGCAGGGCCCAGGCUCCAGUUCAGGCUCAAGGUUAUGGACUUCCCUGGGCAUGGAUGGCCUCGAGUGGACAGUGGCCACACCAUUAACCCCUGCCCCGGGAUCAGUGCGCAGAGAGGUGGGGAUGUUCCCUAGAGCGGGGCUGGGCCUGUCGGGAAGACUCACGGGGUGGGCACUACCCUGCUGGGCGAUCUGUGGAGGAGAGCUGGGGCCCCCUCAUCCCCAGGGCUGCCCAGGGGCCACCCAACUACACAGUGAGACCUUCAGCCUUGGAGACCAGACUUGAAGCAUUCCCAGUCCCAGCCUCCAGGGUCCUGCGAUCUAACAGGGCGGACAGCCACUGCUUGGUGUAGAAAGGGGCAGCCUGAAGUGCAAGCGUGGAUGCAAGGAAGGGCAUCGCUGGCAGCCUGCAGAGGACUGUGCAGGGCUCCCGGGACAACAGGAAGGCAUAGCAGGCAGAGGGAACUGCUUGGGCCAAGGCAUGGAGCUGGGAGGAGUCGAGUGUCGGGGAUCCUGAGUGGGUUGUCAGGGGUCCCGAGUUGAGGGUGAGGGGCUGAGACCACUUCUGUAGAAAAUAAAGGAGGUUUGUAGAAUGAAUCGGAGGGAGGAUACAAGUGAAUGAAUCUAACUGUAACUGGCUUAGGGGGGCACAGCAGAACCAGCGGAGACAGCAGGACCAGCCCCGCUUCCCUGGGCCUCCCCCUCCAGCGUCCCCACCUUCGUCAGCAGCUGCACCAGGGACCAGUGAGGAGAGCGGCCACACAGCUCUCUCAGGCCAGCAAGGAAGGCUCCGGGCUCCAGGGAGGCUGGGUAGAGAAGCAGCAUGUUGGCCUGCAGUGAGGCCCGAGGCUCUGCCCCUGGGUCCCUGCCCAGCUCCUGGAUCCUGACCCAGCUCACUCACACCCAGGACCACUUGAGAGCAGCAGGAAGACUUUGGGGCAGCCCCGCAGGGCCCGGCAGCCGCUCAGCUCCCGGACCAGCUGCUGUGGCUGCCUCAGCUGCCCUCUGGGGGCAUCAAGGCCACUAAGGCACACCCCACAGGGCGCCCGUGGGCAUCCAGCUGCUCCUGGAACCAAGCCAGUUCCUCGAGGAAGCCCUAGGGGCAAGAGUGAGACCGACCUGAGUCCGGGGAGGUUUUGGGUGGGGAGGAGAUUCUGGGUCAGGGGAGAGUGGGGAAGGGGUCGGUGCUGGGCCUGAGGGUGGAUGUAAGAGGCAGAGGCUCACCUGGACCGGGACCUCCCUCCUCUCGCAGCUCUCAAAGCCCAGGGCCUGGAACACGUCCUCCAGGGCAGUGACUACAGCGGCCGCCACCCCAGGGCUGCUGAGCAUCAGGGCUGCCCUUGGACCCUGGACGUCAUACUUCCCCUGGGGAGGCAAGGCCAGAGCUGGGCUGGGCUGGGCUGGGCUGGGGCUCAGCAGGGAGGCAGGAGCAGCUGGGCUAGGCGGUGCCUCCUGCUACCUUUCUCCCCAGGCUGUCUCGAGUGUCUGCCAUCUGCGUGGCCAGCCGCAGGGUCCCAGCCACCAGGAAGGCCAUAGGGCGAGACGGGGCUUCCUCCAAGCACCAAGCUCGGAGCUCACCUCCUGGCCCUGGGCUCUCAGUGCCCUGGGUCCUAACCCUUGCCCUCUACCCUAACGAGUACUAUCAGCUCUGCUUAUGAGCUGAGCUGGACUCUGCCCCAUCCCUGGAACCCUGGGUCCUGGCCCCGCUCUCCCAGCCUGGGCUUCAUUCUCUGGCUCCUGCUGGUGACUUCUUUGCUGGCACUGACAUGCCCCUACCCGAGCCAGGAACCUGUGCUCAAUCCUAUUCUUAGCUCCUGGCCUACGUGCUUAUCUGAUCUCGUUACACCCGAGUGUCUCCAUUUGGAGCCAGCCACCGCCACCAAGAAGUCCUUGUACCAUCCCGGCCACCCGCCACACGCAUGCACACAGCACCAGGCCCCCAGAGGUAAAAAUCACCAACUGGAAUCAGCCUUGUCCACAGCGAGACCUUGCUUGCUUCUUACGGGAAACGGAGACCAUGACAGUGACCGCAGGAUGAUGUGUGCAUGGAAGGUUGGCUAAGAAAGGCCUAGGGGCAGAGAGGGCUGGCACAUGCACACCUGUUACCAAGGGACCAGAGCGUCUUGUCCACCGGCCCCCGCCUCCCCUCAGCCAGGGGCCCUGAGGCCACUAGCAGGUGAAAGAGAAGGAACCAGCAUGGGUGGAAGGAGGGGUCGUGCCUGGAUGAUCACUAGUUUUGACCACGCACCCACCAGCCCUUGGUGGGUCCCGGCCUGGGGCUCCUGGUAGGGAGAAGUUGGAUGUCAGGGGCUGGUGGGAAGGGCAAGCCCGCUGUCAGCCCCUCCUCCAAGGGACUCAGCCUGGGGCAGCCUUGAGUUCCAGAUCCCCAACACGCAGCAAGAGGGUCCCACCACUGACCAAGCAGCGUCUAUGGGCCCUUCUUCCUUUCACAGUUGUGGGAGAGGAGUGGCCUGGUGAAGACCCUGAGUCCUGCUCAGCUCCCCGUUCUGCUGGAGCACCGACGGUGCUCCCAGAGCAGGGCAGGCACUAGCUGACACAGGGGGACAAGAGUCCCAGGGGACACGGCUGCCCAUUGGGGCCCAGCCGACCUGGACGCCAAGGACGCAGCUCCGCCUGGUCACGGUGCAGCAGCAUGUGCCACCAGGACACAAGGCCAGGGCAAGGGGCAUAUAUUCCAGGUAUCCCCACCCUCCAGCUACCGAAAGAACAGAACAGCCUGGAGGUAAGUUUUCACGUUUAUUAAUACUCUUCUGUUGCCCUUUGGAGGUCUGAGGGGGAGUCCUUGCAGGGCCUCUGGUCUGUCCCUGUUCAUGGAAGGCAGUGCUCAGGAGGCAGCAGCAAAGUGCCAAUGAAGCAGGGCGUUAGUGCCGAUGGAGCAGGGAGCCAGUACCGGUGGAGCUGGGCGUUGGUGCCAAUGGAGCGAGGCACUGGUGCCGGUGGAGCGGGGCGUUAGUGCCGAUGGAAUGGGGCACCAGUGCCGUUGGAGCUGGACGUAGUGAUGAUGGAGCAGGGUGGUAGUGCCGACGGAGCUGGACAUAGUGAUGAUGGAGCGGGGUGGUAGUGCCGAUGGAGCCGGACGUUAGUGACAAUGGAGUGGGACACCAGUGCCGAUGGAGCAGGGCGUUAGUGCUGAUGGAGUGGGGCACCAAUGUCAAAGGAGCGGGUCAUUAGUGCCGCUGGAGUUGGGGCGUUAGUGCCAAUGGAGUGGAGCAUUAGUGCUGAUGGAGUGGGGCGCCGAGUGGGGCAUUAGUGCCGAUGGAGCGGGGCCGAUGGAGUGGGGCGCCGAGUGGAGCAUUAGUGCCGAUGGAGCAGGGCGCCAGUGCCGAUGGAGCAGGGUGCCGGGGCCGAUGGAGUGAGGUGCUAGUGCUGAUGGAGUGAGGUGCUAGUGCUGAUGGAGUGCUAGUGCUGAGUCUGGUGCAGCCCCACCUCUGGAGGAAAAGAUGGCAGCCAGGCGCCCUGUUCUUGGUCUCCAGGGUUGGCCUCCUGUCGCUGGAGCCACCAUUAUCCUCACCAGAUUGGUGGGCAGGUGGCUCUCAGAGCCUCAUGCUAGGGCAAGUAGGCCGAGGGCAAAGGCAGGCCGAGUCCGUAUGGCCAGGACAGGGCAGAGUGGUCAUGGCCUGGAAACGGGAGUGGGAGGGGGCCAGAAAGCCCCUGCCGCCGUGACUAAGACCCGCGGUCCCACAGGUGUGGGCUGUCUCUCCCAAAGUCCAGCAGCCCCCUGGGGGGCCAAGGCCAGUCCUCCACGCCCACUGAAAGGCACAGGUUGGUAGGGCAGAGGCCUGACCCAUGGACCCACCCCACAGGGUGGGGGCCAAAGAGCCACACAGUCAAAUGAGGCUCGGGGGCUUCUGGGAAGGGACCUAGACCUGAGUCCUUGCCACCCUGCUGUCCCUGCCAGGAAUGUGUUGGGGCUCCAGGAAACUAGAGGGGAAGAGGAACGCUAGGCGCAGAAGGGGGAAAGAGGACAAGAUCGGGGGCGGGAGGGGAAGGCUUCCGUUCCCUUUGAGCGCUGGGCAGGUCCUCAGAGCCAAGCAGGGCAGGCGAGCUCCGAGUGUGAGGUACCCUGGGGUCCCUCGGACAGCCCGGGAGGUGGCCACAGAUGGAAGGAGAGUCCCAGUGGUGAACAAAGCAGGAUGUGCCGUGGCUGGGCCUCCCCCGGGUUUCCGGCCAAGCCAGCUGCUCACCCCACGGGCUGGGCCAUCUUGGCGUGCAGGCUCUGAUGCGCGAUGAGGUGCGCGCGCUGCUUGAAGCUCUUGUCGCACUCUCCGCAGCCGAAGGGCCGCUCACCGGUGUGCACACGCCGAUGGUCCAGCAGGUAGGAGCGCAGCGAGAAGCUCUUGCCGCAGUCGCUGCAGCCGAAAGGCUUCUCGCCCGUGUGUAUGCGCUGGUGGUCGGCCAGGUAGGCGCUGCGGCUGAAGCUCUUGCCGCACUCGGAACAGGAGAAGGGCUUCUCGCCCGUGUGCACGCCUUGGUGGCGCACCAGGUCCGAGGAGCUGCGGAAGCUCUUGUCGCACUCAGGGCACUUGUGUGGCUUCUCGCCCGUGUGCGUGCGCUGGUGCCGCGCCAGGUCCGAGCCCCAGCGGAAGCGCUUUCCACACUGCCCGCA
RNAcentral lists this long non-coding RNA (9619 nucleotides) under Homo sapiens (human). RNAcentral describes it as "non-protein coding lnc-ZSCAN10-7:1". Lineage: Eukaryota; Metazoa; Chordata; Mammalia; Primates; Hominidae. The record is from RNAcentral.